GUAGGUGAACCUGCGGAAGGAUCAUUAUUAUUAGAAAAGAUGCGGGAUGAAAUGCCCGUACUUCUAAACCCUUAUGUUAACACACCUUUGUUGCUUUGGCAGGCCGCGGCCUCCGCUGCGGGCUCACGCUCGCACGUGCCUGCCAGAGGACCCAACUCUUGAUUUUAGUGAUGUCUGAGUACUAUUAAAUAGUUAAAACUUUCAACAACGGAUCUCUUGGUUCUG
RNAcentral lists this unclassified non-coding RNA (225 nucleotides) under rhizosphere metagenome. Its description in RNAcentral is "partial ribosomal RNA internal transcribed spacer region". The record is from RNAcentral.